GGGUUUUCUUCCACCCAAUUGUCCAAUUUCUCUGACUUUCACGCUCCUUUGCUCUCACUGUUUCUUCUUUCUCUUCCUCUUACACUCAUCCUUUCCCAAGUUUCUAUACCUAAUCUUCAAUCCGCAAUUCUUCAUGGAUUGCAGUAAUUUCUGAGAGGAAAGCUUUCGUUUGUGGGGUUGCUUUUCACUUUGCAGUUCGUCGUCUGGGUGUCAGUUGCAAAUUCUAGGUUGAAUAGAUAUGACAACCAUGAACCCUUUUGAUCUCUUGGUCGACGACGACAACGAGGACCCUAAUCAGCUUGCUUCUGCUCAGCGGUCCGCACCGGCACUCCCGUCUAAGAAAGCCCCUGCUCCGGUUCAGCCUGCCAAACCAGCGAAGCUUCCUUCCAAGCCGCUCCCUCCUGCUCAGGCUGUAAGGGAGUCAAAGAAUGAAAAUAGCCGUGGUCGUGGAGGUGGACGUGGCUUUGGGCGAGGGCGUGGUGGUGGUGGAGGAUUCAAUAGAGACUCAGCCAACAAUGAAAAUGGUGGCAGGAAUGGAUUCUCUGAUCGUUACCAGGCACCUGAGGAUGGUGAAAAGGCAGCUGAAAGGCGUGGUUAUGGUGGCCCCCGUGGAUCUUUCCGGGGUCCUCGUCGUGGAGGCUUCAGCAAUGGUGAAGCAGAAGAAGGGGAACGACCCCGAAGAGUAUAUGAACGCCGCAGUGGAACUGGACGCGGAAAUGAGUUUAAGCGUGAUGGGGCUGGUCGAAGGAACUGGGGAGCUCCUGGUGAUGAAAAUGCCCCGGAUGUGGAAGAGCCUGUUGCUGAAAAUGAGAAGAAUGUUGCUACAGAGCAACAAUUGGGAGAGGAUGGAGUUGUUGAUGAUAACAACAAAGCCGAGGAGGCCGUGAAGGAACCAGAAGAGAAGGAGCCUGAGGAUAAGGAGAUGACCCUCAAAGAGUAUGAGAAGCUCCGAGAAGAGAGUAGGAAACUGCUGGCUAAGACUGAAGUGAGAAAGGCCAAAGUGGAUGAGGAAUUAGAGAACAUGCAGCAGCUUUCCAGCAAGAAAACCAAUGAUGAAAUCUUUGCUAAAUUGGGUACUGAUAAGGAUAAGCGCAAGGACAUUGCUGACAAGGAGGAGAAAGCUAAGAAAUCUGUGACUAUAACUGAGUUCCUGAAGCCUGCGGAAGGUGAGAGGUACUACAACCCCGGUGGCCGUGGUAGAGGCCGUGGGCGAGGCUCUCGAGGUGGGUUCAAUAACGGAAGCAACAGAAUGAAUGUGGCAGCCCCCUCCAUUGAAGAUCCCGGACAGUUUCCUUCAUUGAGUGCUAAGUGAGAAUUUUACCACUUAAAAUCCCUAUUUUGUCACUACAUUUUAAAGUUUUCUUGAGAUAAUCAGAUCAGGAUUUUUGAGUUACAAUUACCAACAGGAUUCUGAAACUCCCUCUCUAAUGCUCUGCUAUGUAGUGUAAAUCUUGGAUGUUAUGGUCUUGAACGGUCGUAAGUUAUGC
This 1487-nucleotide unclassified non-coding RNA is filed under the name Hevea brasiliensis (rubber tree). Lineage: Eukaryota; Viridiplantae; Streptophyta; Magnoliopsida; Malpighiales; Euphorbiaceae. The record is from RNAcentral.